This 735-nucleotide ribosomal RNA is filed under the name uncultured bacterium. Its description in RNAcentral is "bacterial SSU rRNA". It matches the Rfam family "Bacterial small subunit ribosomal RNA", at positions 335 to 1062 of the family's 1533-position model. The record is from RNAcentral.
ACUCCUACGGGUGGCUGCAGUGGGGAAUAUUGGACAAUGGGCGAAAGCCUGAUCCAGCCAUGCCGCGUGUGUGAAGAAGGCCUUUUGGUUGUAAAGCACUUUAAGUGGGGAGGAAAAGCUUAUGGUUAAUACCCAUAAGCCCUGACGUUACCCACAGAAUAAGCACCGGCUAACUCUGUGCCAGCAGCCGCGGUAAUACAGAGGGUGCAAGCGUUAAUCGGAAUUACUGGGCGUAAAGCGCGCGUAGGUGGUUAUUUAAGUCAGAUGUGAAAGCCCCGGGCUUAACCUGGGAACUGCAUCUGAUACUGGAUAACUAGAGUAGGUGAGAGGGGAGUAGAAUUCCAGGUGUAGCGGUGAAAUGCGUAGAGAUCUGGAGGAAUACCGAUGGCGAAGGCAGCUCCCUGGCAUCAUACUGACACUGAGGUGCGAAAGCGUGGGUAGCAAACAGGAUUAGAUACCCUGGUAGUCCACGCCGUAAACGAUGUCUACCAGUCGUUGGGUCUUUUAAAGACUUAGUGACGCAGUUAACGCAAUAAGUAGACCGCCUGGGGAGUACGGCCGCAAGGUUAAAACUCAAAUGAAUUGACGGGGGCCCGCACAAGCGGUGGAGCAUGUGGUUUAAUUCGAUGCAACGCGAAGAACCUUACCUGGUCUUGACAUAGUGAGAAUCUUGCAGAGAUGCGAGAGUGCCUUCGGGAAUUCACAUACAGGUGAUGCAUGGCUGUCGUCAGCUCG